GGUGUCUCAGUGGUAGAGAGCUUGCCUUGCAUGCAUGAGGCCCUGGGUUCGGUUCCUCAGCACCA
This 65-nucleotide transfer RNA is filed under the name Dipodomys ordii (Ord's kangaroo rat). It matches the Rfam family "tRNA". Rfam says of the family: Transfer RNA (tRNA) molecules are approximately 80 nucleotides in length. Their secondary structure includes four short double-helical elements and three loops (D, anti-codon, and T loops). Further hydrogen bonds mediate the characteristic L-shaped molecular structure. tRNAs have two regions of fundamental functional importance: the anti-codon, which is responsible for specific mRNA codon recognition, and the 3' end, to which the tRNAs corresponding amino acid is attached (by aminoacyl-tRNA synthetases). tRNAs cope with the degeneracy of the genetic code in two manners: having more than one tRNA (with a specific anti-codon) for a particular amino acid; and 'wobble' base-pairing, i.e. permitting non-standard base-pairing at the 3rd anti-codon position. Lineage: Eukaryota; Metazoa; Chordata; Mammalia; Rodentia; Heteromyidae. The record is from Rfam by way of RNAcentral.